UGUCUGGGGUCGCCUAUUCNUKUCCCUCCCGACUGGCYUGWAUGKCDCUUGGGAGAGAAUUUCGUAGUCGGCUUUGUCUGUGCGGUUCUAUCCGAAGAGGGAAAAGAGAUCGGUUGCGUGAUGGGUGUUUUCUGCUUGCCCCGUUGAUAAUUUUAUCUUCUUCGGGGCAGCYGAAUUGUCGGUGAAACGCAGGUGCAUCCCGCAGUUUUUUAGCUGUGGCACUGCACKUGGGUAUUGUCGGCUCUUGCGGAUGCUGUGUCCACAAUCAGYUCUGUAGGCCGCUGGUCYACAGGCUUCGAGAGGUCCCUUGUACGAAUCGUUGGUUUGUCGAUCGCCCGUCGUGUCGGUUMUGCCGUCRCGCCGGAGCGGUGUGUGGGUUGCCUCUAMGACCGAAUAAGCAGCGAUUGUCGGCUCGUAUCGUCAGACGGGCCUCCCCUCAG
RNAcentral lists this unclassified non-coding RNA (440 nucleotides) under Rhynchospora aff. tenuis PJSSF-2020. RNAcentral describes it as "partial external transcribed spacer 1F". The record is from RNAcentral. Lineage: Eukaryota; Viridiplantae; Streptophyta; Magnoliopsida; Poales; Cyperaceae.